This 981-nucleotide ribosomal RNA is filed under the name uncultured bacterium. RNAcentral describes it as "bacterial SSU rRNA". It matches the Rfam family "Bacterial small subunit ribosomal RNA", at positions 241 to 1213 of the family's 1533-position model. The record is from RNAcentral.
UUAGCCUGUUGGUGGGGUAAUGGCCUACCAAAGCUACGAUGGAUAGCCGGCCUGAGAGGGUGUACGGCCACACUGGGACUGAGAUACGGCCCAGACUCCUACGGGAGGCAGCAGUAGGGAAUAUUGCGCAAUGGACGAAAGUCUGACGCAGCAACGCCGCGUGUGGGAUGAAGCUCCUUGGAGCGUAAACCACUGUCAGGAGGGACGAACGAUUCUGGCCUUAAUAGGGCCUUUGUUUGACGGUACCUCCAGAGGAAGCUCCGGCUAACUCCGUGCCAGCAGCCGCGGUAAUACGGGGGGAGCAAGCGUUGUUCGGAAUCACUGGGCGUAAAGGGUGCGCAGGCGGGAGAUUAGGUCGGAUGUGAAAACCUCGGGCUCAACCCGGGGCCUGCAUUCGAAACCAGUCUUCUUGAGUAUCGGAGAGGGAAGCGGAACUCCAGGUGUAGCGGUGAAAUGCGUAGAUAUCUGGAGGAACACCGGUGGCGAANGCGGCUUCCUGGACGAAUACUGACGCUCANGCACGAANGCUAGGNGAGCAAACAGGAUUAGAUACCCUGGUAGUCCUAGCGGUAAACGAUGGGCACUAGGUAUCGGGGGUAUCGACCCCCCCGGUGCCGCAGCUAACGCAUUAAGUGCCCCGCCUGGGGAGUACGGCCGCAAGGCUGAAACUCAAAGGAAUUGACGGGGGCCCGCACAAGCAGUGGAGUAUGUGGUUUAAUUCGAUGCAACGCGAAGAACCUUACCUGGGUUUGACAUAUACAGGCAAGCCUCAGAGAUGAGGCCCCUCCGCAAGGAGUCUGUAUACAGGUGCUGCAUGGCUGUCGUCAGCUCGUGCCGUGAGGUGUUGGGUUAAGUCCCGCAACGAGCGCAACUCCUAUCUUUAGUUACCAUCAUUAAGUUGGGGACUCUAGAGAUACUGCCCCGGCCAACGGGGAGGAAGGUGGGGAUGACGUCAAGUCCUCAUGGCCUUUAUAUCCAGGG